UGGCCUAUGGUGUAAUUGGCAGCACGACGGAUUCUGGUUCCGUUAGUCUUGGUUCGAGUCCAGGUAGGCCAGC
RNAcentral lists this transfer RNA (73 nucleotides) under Streptomyces thermodiastaticus. Its description in RNAcentral is "tRNA-Gln". It matches the Rfam family "tRNA". From Rfam's summary of the family: Transfer RNA (tRNA) molecules are approximately 80 nucleotides in length. Their secondary structure includes four short double-helical elements and three loops (D, anti-codon, and T loops). Further hydrogen bonds mediate the characteristic L-shaped molecular structure. tRNAs have two regions of fundamental functional importance: the anti-codon, which is responsible for specific mRNA codon recognition, and the 3' end, to which the tRNAs corresponding amino acid is attached (by aminoacyl-tRNA synthetases). tRNAs cope with the degeneracy of the genetic code in two manners: having more than one tRNA (with a specific anti-codon) for a particular amino acid; and 'wobble' base-pairing, i.e. permitting non-standard base-pairing at the 3rd anti-codon position. The record is from RNAcentral. RNAcentral also lists the same sequence under 8 other names. Lineage: Bacteria; Bacillati; Actinomycetota; Actinomycetes; Kitasatosporales; Streptomycetaceae.